UGGGGAAUAUUGGACAAUGGGCGAAAGCCUGAUCCAGCCAUGCCGCGUGAGUGAAGAAGGCCCUAGGGUUGUAAAGCUCUUUCAGGUGGGAAGAUGAUGACGGUACCACCAGAAGAAGCCCCGGCUAACUCCGUGCCAGCAGCCGCGGUAAUACGGAGGGGGCUAGCGUUGUUCGGAAUUACUGGGCGUAAAGCGCACGUAGGCGGCUCACCCAGUCAGGCGUGAAAGCCCCGGGCUCAACCUGGGAACUGCGCUUGAUACUGGUGGGCUAGAGUCCGGGAGAGGGUAGCGGAAUUCUCAGUGUAGAGGUGAAAUUCGUAGAUAUUGGGAAGAACACCGGUGGCGAAGGCGGCUACCUGGACCGGUACUGACGCUGAGGUGCGAAAGCGUGGGGAGCAAACAGGAUUAGAUACCCCCGUAGUCC
This 424-nucleotide ribosomal RNA is filed under the name uncultured prokaryote. Its description in RNAcentral is "bacterial SSU rRNA". It matches the Rfam family "Bacterial small subunit ribosomal RNA", at positions 355 to 796 of the family's 1533-position model. The record is from RNAcentral.